RNAcentral lists this ribosomal RNA (494 nucleotides) under uncultured Acidobacteriota bacterium. Its description in RNAcentral is "bacterial SSU rRNA". It matches the Rfam family "Bacterial small subunit ribosomal RNA", at positions 355 to 867 of the family's 1533-position model. Lineage: Bacteria; Pseudomonadati; Acidobacteriota. The record is from RNAcentral.
UCGGGAAUUUUGCGCAAUGGACGAAAGUCUGACGCAGCAACGCCGCGUGAGGGAUGACGGCCUUCGGUUGUAAACCUCUUUUGUCAGGGAAGAUGAUGACGGUACCUGACGAAUAAGCCACGGCUAACUACGUGCCAGCAGCCGCGGUAAUACGUAGGUGGCAAGCGUUGUCCGGAUUUACUGGGCGUAAAGAGCGCGCAGGCGGUCGUUCAAGUCGCGUGUGAAAGCCCCCGGCUCAACUGGGGAGGGUCACGCGAUACUGAUCGACUCGAAGGCAGGAGAGGGUAGUGGAAUUCCCGGUGUAGUGGUGAAAUGCGUAGAUAUCGGGAGGAACACCAGUGGCGAAGGCGACUACCUGGCCUGUUCUUGACGCUGAGGCGCGAAAGCUAGGGGAGCAAACGGGAUUAGAUACCCCGGUAGUCCUAGCCGUAAACGAUGGACACUAGGUGUUGGUGGUAUCAACCCCGCAGUGCCGAAGCUAACGCAUUAAGUGU